UCGAAUGCAUUUGCGUCAUAAUUGAUAUAAAUUGCCAUCAAAAACUUUCGACAAUUUCCAUUUCAAAUAUAGAAAUUUAUUCAAACGUUUUUAGAGAAGUCUUCACGAGUUAAACAUGUACUUCCUGUACUGAGUGCUACGCAUGCGUGAAAGUAUUUAUGACUAUUUAUAGACCCUGAUUAAAAUUGUAAAAUACGAAAUCAUUUAAAAUCAAUUAAACGAGAGAUACAAAUAUAUAUCUCUUACUAAAAG
This 252-nucleotide long non-coding RNA is filed under the name Mytilus galloprovincialis (Mediterranean mussel). The record is from RNAcentral. Lineage: Eukaryota; Metazoa; Mollusca; Bivalvia; Mytilida; Mytilidae.